Molecule: long non-coding RNA, 313 nt
Filed under: Sorghum bicolor (sorghum)
Lineage: Eukaryota; Viridiplantae; Streptophyta; Magnoliopsida; Poales; Poaceae
Description: long non-coding RNA (SBIC_LNC010780)
Source: RNAcentral
CUGUGUUCUUCAUUUGGAGUUGCUUGUUCUAGCUUGCUCUCAUCUCCGGCUAUUGAUUCAUUUCAUCGUUUCUACACCGUCAUCGACUUGUUAAGAGGUCACUAGCUUCAUCUUCUCAACAUUUAGAAGCGGCGUAUGUCAUUUCCUAGUGUUAUGUAUAUUAUUUUUUAUUUUAUGGUUUUUUUAAGAGGUUAUUAGCGUCAUCGCCAUUUCAAAAGCGACGCGUUUUUUUAGAGAAAUAGUGGUAAUAUGUUUUUUAUUUUAAUUAGUUUAGAAAAAAAUAAAAACAUAUAAUACUUUAAUUUGCAAUUUU